Molecule: ribosomal RNA, 470 nt
Filed under: Dagetichthys lusitanicus (Portuguese sole)
Lineage: Eukaryota; Metazoa; Chordata; Actinopteri; Pleuronectiformes; Soleidae
Description: Dagetichthys lusitanica (Portuguese sole) partial 12S rRNA
Rfam family: Bacterial small subunit ribosomal RNA
Source: RNAcentral
CACUAUGCUUAGACUUAAACAACGAUUAAUUUACAUCCGCCCGGGUAUUACGAACGAAAGUUUAAAACCCAAAGGACUUGGCGGUGCUUAACACCCACCUAGAGGAGCCUGUUCUAGAACCGAUCAUCCCCGUUCAACCUCACCCUUCCUUGCACCAUAGCAGCCUAUAUACCGCCGUCGUCAGCUUACCCUUUAAAGGCCUACCAAGUAAGCAAAAUCGGUUUUACCCCAGAACGUCAGGUCGAGGUGUAGCUCACGGAAGGGGAAGAAAUGGGCUACAUUCGCUAGCCUUAGCGUAAAACGAAUGGCAUAAUGAAACAAAUGCCUGAAGGAGGAUUUAGAAGUAAGCAGGAAGCAGAGUGUCCUACUGAAUAAGGCUCUUGAGCACGUACACACCGCCCGUCACCCUCUCCGAGCACCCCCUCCCCAUCUUAACCUACAUAAGAAAAUUCUUAAGCGUUAGAGAGGAA